Molecule: long non-coding RNA, 220 nt
Organism: Panicum virgatum (switchgrass)
Lineage: Eukaryota; Viridiplantae; Streptophyta; Magnoliopsida; Poales; Poaceae
Exons: 2
Source: RefSeq, a predicted model, not a curated record
GCAGGUUGCCAAGAGCAGGCCAACAGAUUGGAUUUCAGGAUUUCCAAUUACAAAUGGACGUUUGCAGAUUAUAAAGAACAAUGACCUUCAACUGGUUCUGGAACUUUUGGAACUGUAUAUAAUGGUAAAUAGAGAGGCACUGAUGCUACAAUAAAAAUAAUCAAUGACAGAUGUUUUGCUGGGAAGCCAUCUGAGCAAGAAAAGAUGGUUCUUUCUCAUA